Molecule: long non-coding RNA, 2444 nt
Organism: Rhineura floridana
Lineage: Eukaryota; Metazoa; Chordata; Lepidosauria; Squamata; Rhineuridae
Exons: 2
Source: RefSeq, a predicted model, not a curated record
AGAGGCAGCUGGACAGCCAUGUGUGGGGAUGCUUUUAUUAAGGGAUGUACUGAAAAGGCAUGAAACAUCUCCUUCUGUCCUCUGCGUUAGAAUCAACAAGAUCAAGUCGUACCUCAGAAAAAGGCCUGCAAUGAGCUUCCCGGAAUCCGCAGCGGCAAUGGGUGACCCAGACUCAGCCGCUGAGCAGUGAAGGGACAGCGGAGACUUACGAUCAUGUGACUGCGCUCAGCUGACAACAACAGUGGCAGUAGUAUGAAGCUAGGGAUCGCGCGAAGGCUCUAUUCGGAAACGGGAAGUGUUGGCAGAGUGUGCUCGGCUAACGUUCCAGGGUGCUGUAGAUACAACUACUUUUCAACGUCAUGGUUAAACCUUGGGACAAAGGGAGCUUUUUUUCUUUAAUUGUUUUCCCCGAUUAAUAACUGUAUUGGAGGUUUAACGGAACAGUUUUAAGAGACAAUUUACAAGCAGUUAUGAUAAAAAGCAGUUAUAGUAGUUAUUACAUAGACUGGUUAAUAUCAAGAUUUGUAAUGCCAAGGACCUCCAAUAUACUCGCCUUCCCUGCGCAGAUAAAUAUAACAUGAAUGUGCUACAUAGAUCAAUUAAAAACACAUCACAAAUGAUCCCUGUAUUAAAUAUAAAGUAUAUCGAAACAGGUUAAUCAAAUAAAUAAAAACAGCAAUAAAUGAUAAGCUGAUUAAGGCGUUUAAUACACAGACAAGAAGACCACUGACUGUGCAGAGUGUAAUUCUCUAAUGCAUAAGUAGUGCCGGUCUCCGGCAUAAAAAUAUAAAUGAAGCAGAAGUCUACAGUAAUGUCAAUGUAGCCCUGAGUGCUGGCCCUUUUAGAGAUUAGCCACCAGAGCUUGAUUCAUCAGUCCAGUUGCUGGUUUACCUUGAAAGCACAAACAAUAAAAAUUUACCAUUUAGAAGCUUCAGUUUUCCUAACAAACGUUUGUUAAGUUUUGAACAAUCCUUGCUGUUGAAACCCAGAUCUCUCACUUUGCUGUGGUGACAGAACAGCAAAGAAGAGAUGAUCUUCCUUACUAGGGGUAAGGGAUGGGAUAUAUAUUUCUUUAUUUCACUAAUAAUGUGUAGAUCAACUUAAAUCUAAGUGAGAUAAAUAGAAAAAGAUAAACAGCACUUUGUACACGGAAAAGUGCUGCAGAAAUUAUUUUUAUACAUUCAGAGGUAAUGUACAUUGUUGGACUAACCAAACAAUAGCAAAUAUUAUGUGAUAGUUAAAGGAAAAGAACACUGUAUUGAAGAUAAAGAGUCCCAGAAGUAAUAUCACAAAGGCCCUCCUUUUCCCCUUUCGUUUCCUCUCUCAUACAAAUGAGAGAUCACUCUUAUACUUCUAAAAAUUGCAGCCUUGGUGUUCUACUAUUUGACCUUUUAAAAUCCUUUACCCUAAAUUAGCUUUUAUUGCAUUUCUACUACAGUAUUAGCUCCUGUAAAAGAAACAGAAUGGGUGAUCUCUGAAAGUAAAGAAUAUGCAAAAGGUCAGGAUAACAUGAUAUACUUAUAUAAUUCACACAGUAUACUUGACAUUAAAAAAGGGAACAAAAAAUGGCAAAGCUGAAAUCCAUGUGUACACCAGACAGAACUUAAGGGCAGCACAAAAUCAACUUAAUUCUUUCUUAAUUAAAACCUAUCAUAUCAGCUUGUGCAGAAAGCAUUAAGAAGAAUUAUUGGGAUGGCAAGAUUUUAAGAAUCUAAACGUGGUGAAUCAAGCUUGAUUGGGGAAAAUCCAAAUGGGGAAUCUCUUGCUUUCAUUUUUUUGCUAAUGCACUGUGCCUAAAUAUACUGGCAACCAUCCAAAGCUUUGUAAAUUCAGGCUUUUGCCUCAGCAGUUCAUACUCCCAAAGGAGCAGCUUAUCUCUUGAGCAGUGGGAACUCUUGACAUCAAACAAAGCUUCAGUUCUGCAUGUGGUUCUUCCCUGUCCACAUACAUCAUUUUGUGUGGAUUUCAGCUUUUGCACAUAAGCAAGCAAGGACUGUUUUUGUUGUUUUCACAUGAGGGACUAUACAUUACAGCAAAUCAUUUUAUUCCUGCACUCUCAUAAUUUCAAAUUAUGUUCCUUAAAAAAAAUAAUUCUUGUGAAUUUAGAAAAGUAAAUAUUCAAAUAUGGAAAUAAAAGGCCCACUAUGCACAAGGAGUGCCCUUCAAGUUUCUCUGGAUUGUGCCUGAUUCAGUGAGGGAACUGCCAUGUACAGGGUUAUGAUCAGAGUAUAAGCCCUGGAAUCACAUAUUUCAGUUUUACAUAAACUGUAAAUGACACACCUUCUGGCGGGAAUCACUAGCACAAGCGAACAAAACUCAAAAAUCUAUAUAACACAAGAUUAGUUUUUAUUAUUUUCUUAAACAGCAAAAUAAAAGAUACAAUUACUUUUACUGAACUAAGACAAAUUGUCAUUGAAUGAGAUUAAACAACACUGAGUAACUUA